RNAcentral lists this ribosomal RNA (246 nucleotides) under uncultured bacterium. Its description in RNAcentral is "partial small subunit ribosomal RNA". It matches the Rfam family "Bacterial small subunit ribosomal RNA", at positions 26 to 285 of the family's 1533-position model. The record is from RNAcentral.
AGAAUCAACGCUGGCGGCGUGCCUAACACAUGCAAGUCGCACGAGAAAGGGUAGCAAUACCUGAGUACAGUGGCGCACGGGUGAGUAACACGUGAAUUAUCUACCUCCGAGUUGGGAAUAAACUGAGAGAAAUCUUAGCUAAUACCGCAUAACACUUACGAGUCAAAGCAGCAAUGCGCUUGGAGAGGAGUUCGCGGCAGAUUAGUUAGUUGGCGGGGUAAUGGCCCACCAAGACGAUGAUCUGUA